AUUGAACGCUGGCGGCAGGCCUAACACAUGCAAGUCGAACGGUAACAGGAAGAAGCUUGCUUCUUUGCUGACGAGUGGCGGACGGGUGAGUAAUGUCUGGGAAACUGCCUGAUGGAGGGGGAUAACUACUGGAAACGGUAGCUAAUACCGCAUAACGUCGCAAGACCAAAGAGGGGGACCUUCGGGCCUCUUGCCAUCGGAUGUGCCCAGAUGGGAUUAGCUAGUAGGUGGGGUAACGGCUCACCUAGGCGACGAUCCCUAGCUGGUCUGAGAGGAUGACCAGCCACACUGGAACUGAGACACGGUCCAGACUCCUACGGGAGGCAGCAGUGGGGAAUAUUACACAAUGGGCGCAAGCCUGAUGCAGCCAUGCCGCGUGUAUGAAGAAGGCCUUCGGGUUGUAAAGUACUUUCAGCGGGGAGGAAGGGAGUAAAGUUAAUACCUUUGCUCAUUGACGGUACCCGCAGAAGAAGCACCGGCUAACUCCGUG
This 490-nucleotide ribosomal RNA is filed under the name uncultured bacterium. RNAcentral's name for it is "partial 16S ribosomal RNA". It matches the Rfam family "Bacterial small subunit ribosomal RNA", at positions 30 to 507 of the family's 1533-position model. The record is from RNAcentral.